UACGUAGGGGGCAAGCGUUAUCCGGACUUACUGGGUGUAAAGGGGGCGCAGACGGCAGCGCAAGCCAGGAGUGAAAGCCCGGGGCCCAACCCCGGGACUGCUCUUGGAACUGCGCGGCUGGAGUGCAGGAGGGGCAGGCGGAAUUCCUGGUGUAGCGGUGAAAUGCGUAGAUAUCAGGAGGAACACCGGUGGCGAAGGCGGCCUGCUGGACUGCGACUGACGUUGAGGCCCGAAAGCGUGGGGAGCAAACAGG
RNAcentral lists this ribosomal RNA (253 nucleotides) under uncultured bacterium. RNAcentral's name for it is "partial 16S ribosomal RNA". It matches the Rfam family "Bacterial small subunit ribosomal RNA", at positions 524 to 776 of the family's 1533-position model. The record is from RNAcentral.